GUAGGGACGACCAUGGGACCACAGGGGAGCUCUGAGCGACCAACUGGAGUACUUCCAUCCAUGUGCCCUCCUUUAGGCCAUAAGACAGCCCUGGUUCUACAUGUGAGCACAUCCUUUUGGCUCCGUCUUCGAGAUACUCAGUCCAACCACACCUGACCACUCGGCCUCGCCACCGUCGUGUUCAUCCGGAGGAACCAUAGUGCCCUCCUGACAGUCUCCCACUCGGGUGGGCUGGGUAACGUCUCUCCUCCCCCAAAGAGGUCUGCGUCGCAAUCUGUAACCUGUGACUGUGUCACCUUACGUAGUAAGAGGGACUUCGCAGACGGAAUUAAAUUGAGGACGUUGAGAUGGGAGAUUAUCUUGGAUUAUCCAAGCGGGCCCAAGGUCCCUCCUUUUGAGAGGCGGGCGAGGACAGAAGGCAGAAGGUGACGUAACAGUGGCAGCAAGUGUGGUGUGACGUGGGGCCGCGAGCCCAAGAAACGGCAGCCUCUAGAAACGGGUUCUCUUCUAGAGCCUUCGGAAAGAACACAACCCUGCCAACACAGACCUCCAAAACGGUAGAAUAAAUGUGUGUUGUUUUAAGCUG
Long non-coding RNA from Lynx canadensis (Canada lynx), 586 nucleotides. RefSeq lists it as uncharacterized. NCBI's taxonomy places the organism in Eukaryota, Metazoa, Chordata, Mammalia, Carnivora, Felidae. The record is from RefSeq and is a predicted model, not a curated record. The transcript is spliced from 2 exons.